UACGAAGGGGGCUAGCGUUGUUCGGAAUUACUGGGCGUAAAGCGCACGUAGGCGGAUAUUUAAGUCAGGGGUGAAAUCCCAGAGCUCAACUCUGGAACUGCCUUUGAUACUGGGUAUCUCGAGUAUGGAAGAGGUGAGUGGAAUUCCUGGUGUAGAGGUGAAAUUCGUAGAUAUCAGGAGGAACACCGGUGGCGAAGGCGGCUUCCUGGACACUAACUGACGCUGAGACGCGAAAGCGUGGGGAGCAAACAGG
RNAcentral lists this ribosomal RNA (253 nucleotides) under uncultured bacterium. RNAcentral describes it as "partial 16S ribosomal RNA". It matches the Rfam family "Bacterial small subunit ribosomal RNA", at positions 524 to 776 of the family's 1533-position model. The record is from RNAcentral.